AAAAAAAAAUCAAGCCACCUAGGGGACUCGAACCCCUGACCUUAAGAUUAAAAGUCUCACGCUCUACCAACUGAGCUAAGGAGGCCAUGA
This is a non-coding RNA of Caenorhabditis elegans, 90 nucleotides long. NCBI's taxonomy places the organism in Eukaryota, Metazoa, Nematoda, Chromadorea, Rhabditida, Rhabditidae. The record is from Ensembl.